UAAUAAGUGUUUUAUGGCCACUUUUUAAAUCCAUAUCCACCUUGUGUGCAAUGUCAGUCGAUCUUCUUCAUGGAGAUCGACCAAACAUCAACCUUUAUCUUUUAACUCUUUGUCUGAAAAAUAUUAUGAAUAAACAAUUCAAAAUA
RNAcentral lists this unclassified non-coding RNA (146 nucleotides) under soil metagenome. Its description in RNAcentral is "partial internal transcribed spacer 1". The record is from RNAcentral.